CAUCAUCAUCAUUAUCAUCACUGUUAUAUGGCCGAAAUCAGACUACGCAUUGAAGAAUGAGAUUGAAGAUUGAAAGAUUGAAGUUUGACCAAUCAGAAUAAAAGGAGUCAAAACUUCUUUGUCCUUAUUGGUAAAAUUGCAAUCUU
Trachymyrmex septentrionalis is the source of this 146-nucleotide long non-coding RNA. RefSeq lists it as uncharacterized. The transcript is spliced from 4 exons. The record is from RefSeq and is a predicted model, not a curated record. Lineage: Eukaryota; Metazoa; Arthropoda; Insecta; Hymenoptera; Formicidae.